This is a long non-coding RNA of Magnolia sinica, 714 nucleotides long. RefSeq lists it as uncharacterized. The record is from RefSeq and is a predicted model, not a curated record. NCBI's taxonomy places the organism in Eukaryota, Viridiplantae, Streptophyta, Magnoliopsida, Magnoliales, Magnoliaceae. The transcript is spliced from 3 exons.
UCCUAGCCAAGUGGCACAAGGCUUAGCAACUGCAACGGUUCUUGCCACUGCAGCAGUGAAUGGAUUGGCAUUAAUCAUGUAUUUUAUUUUAUGUGAGAGCAAAGAUUUUCUUAGGUUCAUGCAUCGGUUAGGUGCAGCUGCAGGAAGGAGUUGGAAUGUUAUAACAUAGCAUUGGCCAUUGUUUGUUUAGGCUGUGUGAAACUGAGAUUGUGAAUUAGUCAACAUGGCUCCUGGGACUGGGAGUAGCAUUUGCAAGGAAGUCCUUGAAUCCUAAGCUGCAAAUCCUGAGUUAUCCAUUGCAAGUGAUGAAUUGGAAAAAUUCUAGCUAACUAAGCCCACUAUUGCUCCUAUAGCAUUAAAGGAGGUGUAUCUUCCACUAAUGGUGUGAAUGAGCUUCUUAAGUGCCGUGUUUGUACAAACUCAAUGUACCCUCCCAUACACCAGUCUUUGGGGCCUUUGGCAACCCGCAAGGGAGUGGUAGUUUCUCUGCAUUUAAUGGUAGCAAUGCCAUGGGAAUCGAAAAACCAUCCAACCUUUUCACGCAGAUGAGAAGAUAGAAAGUCUCCGACAAGAUUUGCAGUUGAAAACCAGGUCUGCAUCAUGAGAGUAGAGAAGCGCCUGAAUGAGAUAGCUUGGAUAUAAAAUAUAUUCAUCAAGGUGGGCCCCACAGUAUGGGCCGCAUCAUCUUGGGUGAGUUCGGGGUCUCACCUAAUC